This is a small nucleolar RNA of Dioscorea cayenensis subsp. rotundata (Guinea yam), 107 nucleotides long. Lineage: Eukaryota; Viridiplantae; Streptophyta; Magnoliopsida; Dioscoreales; Dioscoreaceae. The record is from RefSeq and is a predicted model, not a curated record.
AACCCACGCUGAGGACAUUUCCGGAGGAGCUCCUUUAACCUCUCCCAUGUCUCAAAUAGAGACUCCAAUUCCGUUUGCAUGAAGGCAGAUAUUUCAUUCCUAAGCUU